UCUGUAUACAAUAUCUACAGUGAACUUCCUCUUUUUCAUAUGGUCGAUCUGUCAACAUUCAGUUUGUUUUAUGAUAAUCAUGUGACAGUUUUCAUUCACGAUCUCUGAUUUUUAUGUAUUUUUUCAUUCAGCAUCAUACGUUAUACGUUGAAUAAAAACUGACCUAAACUAGUCUUUGGCACAGUAUUGUUUAUUCUAACGGCACGAUAUGUUUUAACACCUGUAAUUGAAUAAAAAGGGAACCAAAACAUCCGAGACUAUGCAGUGAAGGUGAACAGAAAACAGCCCCUGUGUGUGAUUGCAAAGUAAAAAUUUUGUAUUAGUUCUGUAUGAAACAUGUAUACUAUACUUCUGUAUUUAUUAACAUUUAAUAUUGCCUACAAUACAGCAAUACUUGUAUAGAUUUCAUUUUCGUUCUUUAGUGACUACCAAAGGAGUUGAUGGCACAGGUAUAGCAAACAGAUCAAUUGUUGGCGGGACCCUGAGAAUUG
This is a long non-coding RNA of Haliotis rubra (blacklip abalone), 491 nucleotides long. RefSeq lists it as uncharacterized. The record is from RefSeq and is a predicted model, not a curated record. The transcript is spliced from 2 exons. Lineage: Eukaryota; Metazoa; Mollusca; Gastropoda; Lepetellida; Haliotidae.